Molecule: transfer RNA, 84 nt
Filed under: Daphnia magna
Lineage: Eukaryota; Metazoa; Arthropoda; Branchiopoda; Diplostraca; Daphniidae
Rfam family: tRNA
About the family: Transfer RNA (tRNA) molecules are approximately 80 nucleotides in length. Their secondary structure includes four short double-helical elements and three loops (D, anti-codon, and T loops).
Source: Rfam by way of RNAcentral
GCCUUCUUAGCUCAGUGGUAGAGCGUUGGUCUCGUAUAAACGAAAGUAAACCAAAGGCCGAGAGUUCAAUCCUCUCAGGAGGCA